This 651-nucleotide long non-coding RNA is filed under the name Daucus carota (carrot). RNAcentral's name for it is "long non-coding RNA (DCAR_LNC006917)". The record is from RNAcentral. Lineage: Eukaryota; Viridiplantae; Streptophyta; Magnoliopsida; Apiales; Apiaceae.
CUGGAUAUGAUUUAUGUGACCACAAAAGGAGCAGAACUUAGGUAACCUCUCGUAUCGGAAUGAGACCCAUAUGUUGUCCUUGUUCUUGUCUAAAUUCAGAAAUUUUCCCCUGAGUAGAGCUUUUGUGGAGUCCAAACCUACUCUAAACCGCAUGAAGCUGCUCUGACAUGUGGGGUCAAACUCCAUGAAAUCGCCCAUUGAGUUGGCUAUUUCCUUGCCCAAUCUUUCGCCAUAAGGCUUCACAAGGAGACCUGGGGGGAUCCCGUGUACUUGUACCCAGAAGGGGAUUUUGUGAAAAGAUUCUGUAUUUACUUGAGUCAUAGCAUCAACCUCAACUAGAAUUAGAUAACUUCCUCCGAAGGCCCAUGGUUGCCCUCUAAUUGUUCUAUUCUUUACCGCUUCCGAAUCAAAAUUAAGAAUAAUAAUGCCAUCAGUGUAAUCCUCUACCUUCACACCCGCUUUGCCCUGCCAUAUAGACUCGAACAAGUUCUUCAAUCCAAUUUUGUUUAUAGUUUUUCCUGACAACAGUCUUGCAUAGAUGACUUUGGGGAGAACCGAAGUACUGAACUCCAAUACAUUAGAUGGAUUGGUGAUAACUUCUAACUCAUUGGACUUCAGUUGUAGCUUCCCUAGAUCACCCUCAGCUAAUGG